This 78-nucleotide transfer RNA is filed under the name Gemmobacter caeni. RNAcentral's name for it is "tRNA-Pro". It matches the Rfam family "tRNA". Rfam says of the family: Transfer RNA (tRNA) molecules are approximately 80 nucleotides in length. Lineage: Bacteria; Pseudomonadati; Pseudomonadota; Alphaproteobacteria; Rhodobacterales; Paracoccaceae. The record is from RNAcentral. RNAcentral also lists the same sequence under 1 other name.
CGGGCUGUGGCGCAGUCUGGUUAGCGCGCCGGUCUGGGGGACCGGAGGUCGGAGGUUCAAAUCCUCUCAGCCCGACCA